UACGAGGGGGGCUAGCGUUGUUCGGAAUCACUGGGCGUAAAGGGCGCGUAGGCGGCUUUGUAAGUCGGGGGUGAAAGCCUGUGGCUCAACCACAGAAUUGCCUUCGAUACUGUAGAGCUUGAGACCGGAAGAGGUUAGUGGAACUGCGAGUGUAGAGGUGAAAUUCGUAGAUAUUCGCAAGAACACCAGUGGCGAAGGCGGCUGACUGGUCCGGUUCUGACGCUGAGGCGCGAAAGCGUGGGGAGCAAACAGG
RNAcentral lists this ribosomal RNA (253 nucleotides) under uncultured bacterium. RNAcentral describes it as "partial 16S ribosomal RNA". It matches the Rfam family "Bacterial small subunit ribosomal RNA", at positions 524 to 776 of the family's 1533-position model. The record is from RNAcentral.